RNAcentral lists this ribosomal RNA (943 nucleotides) under uncultured Paracoccaceae bacterium. RNAcentral describes it as "bacterial SSU rRNA". It matches the Rfam family "Bacterial small subunit ribosomal RNA", at positions 9 to 999 of the family's 1533-position model. The record is from RNAcentral. Lineage: Bacteria; Pseudomonadati; Pseudomonadota; Alphaproteobacteria; Rhodobacterales; Paracoccaceae.
GAGUUUGAUCAUGGCUCAGAACGAACGCUGGCGGCAGGCUUAACACAUGCAAGUCGAGCGAGGCCUUCGGGUCUAGCGGCGGACGGGUUAGUAACGCGUGGGAACGUGCCUUUCUCUACGGAAUAGUCCCGGGAAACUGGGUUUAAUACCGUAUACGCCCUUUGGGGGAAAGAUUUAUCGGAGAGGGAUCGGCCCGCGUUAGAUUAGAUAGUUGGUGGGGUAAUGGCCUACCAAGUCUACGAUCUAUAGCUGGUUUUAGAGGAUGAUCAGCAACACUGGGACUGAGACACGGCCCAGACUCCUACGGGAGGCAGCAGUGGGGAAUCUUGGACAAUGGGCGCAAGCCUGAUCCAGCCAUGCCGCGUGAGUGAUGAAGGCCCUAGGGUCGUAAAGCUCUUUCGCCUGUGAAGAUAAUGACGGUAGCAGGUAAGAAACCCCGGCUAACUCCGUGCCAGCAGCCGCGGUAAUACGGAGGGGGUUAGCGUUGUUCGGAAUUACUGGGCGUAAAGCGCACGUAGGCGGAUUAGCAAGUUGGGGGUGAAAUCCCGGGGCUCAACCCCGGAACUGCCUCAAAACUGCUAGUCUUGAGUUCGAGAGAGGUGAGUGGAAUUCCGAGUGUAGAGGUGAAAUUCGUAGAUAUUCGGAGGAACACCAGUGGCGAAGGCGGCUCACUGGCUCGAUACUGACGCUGAGGCGCGAAAGUGUGGGGAGCAACAGGAUUAGAUACUCCUGGUAGUCCAACCGUAAACGAUGAAUGCCAGACGUCGGGCACAUGCUGUUCGGUGUCACACCUAACGGCAUUAAGCAUUCCGCCUGGGGAGUACGGUCGCAAGAUUAAAACUCAAAGGAAUUCGACGGGGGCCCGCACAAGCGGUGGUAGCAUGUGGUUUAAUUCGAAGCAACCGCAGAGACCUGUACCAACCCUUGACAUCCCAGGGACCGG